AAGGGGUGUAUUUAUUAGAUAAAAAACCAAUGCCCUUCGGGGCUUUUUGGUGAUUCAUGAUAACUUUACGGAUCGCAUAGCCUUGCGCUGGCGACGGUUCAUUCAAAUUUCUGCCCUAUCAACUUUCGAUGGUAAGGUAUUGGCUUACCAUGGUUUCAACGGGUAACGGGGAAUUAGGGUUCGAUUCCGGAGAGGGAGCCUGAGAAACGGCUACCACAUCCAAGGAAGGCAGCAGGCGCGCAAAUUACCCAAUCCCGACACGGGGAGGUAGUGACAAUAAAUACUGAUACAGGGCUCUUUUGGGUCUUGUAAUUGGAAUGAGUACAAUUUAAACCUCUUAACGAGGAACAAUUGGAGGGCAAGUCUGGUGCCAGCAGCCGCGGUAAUUCCAGCUCCAAUAGCGUAUAUUAAAGUUGUUGCAGUUAAAAAGCUCGUAGUUGAAACUUGGGCCUGGCUGGCGGGUCCGCCUCACCGCGUGCACUCGUCCGGCCGGGCCUUCCUUCUGAAGAACCUCAUGCCCUUCACUGGGCGUGCUGGGGAAUCAGGACUUUUACUUUGAA
Molecule: ribosomal RNA, 560 nt
Filed under: Alternaria alternata
Lineage: Eukaryota; Fungi; Ascomycota; Dothideomycetes; Pleosporales; Pleosporaceae
Description: SSU rRNA
Rfam family: Eukaryotic small subunit ribosomal RNA
Source: RNAcentral